Small nuclear RNA from Vulpes vulpes (red fox), 107 nucleotides. The record is from Ensembl. NCBI's taxonomy places the organism in Eukaryota, Metazoa, Chordata, Mammalia, Carnivora, Canidae.
GUACUUGCUUGGCAGUACAUAAAAUUAAAUUGGAAUGAUACAGAGAAGAUUAGCAUGGCCUUGGUGCAAGUAUGACACACAAUUACACAAAGCUUUAAUAAAAAAAU